CUGAAGGAAGGAGACUAAAUGUCGAUGAUGGUAGCAGACUGGGUAAAGAUGCCAGCGAAGAACCAGCUUUCCAGACUGCUCGGGGAGGGAAGGCCACUGAUACAAGUGUUUCCCUUCCUGGGGCAGAUGCUAGUUACCAAGUCUUUGAAAGCCGAACUGCCCAAAGCCUUGGCCCUUGACUGAGCCUUGGUAGAUGAACGUGCCUCCGGGGGACUCUGAGGAGACCUGCAAAGGCAGGAGUAAUAAUGGUGCCCGUGCACGGGGUGGAGGCAAGGCCUGCGCCCAUUCACGCACAGAAGGCACUUGCUUAGACCACUUCUGGGCCUAGAGAACUGCCUGCCGUUAUCACUGUGAUGAAAACGACUGCCAAGAGCCCCUGGAACCACUGAGCCAUGAUUAAAGCAUACCUGACAGACUUAACGAACUUUGGAUGGUUCAUCACAGUUCCAAUAGCUACUAAUUUCAGAAGGUAGCUGGGGAUCUGAGUCUUCUUGGCUCAUCUGUCUUGUCCCUGCAGAUGCACCCUGACUUCUCAGCUCUCUGCUACUCUGGCCCCACAACUUCUCCCUCCUUCCUACCCUUCCAUGUCCAGCAUCAGCAAUCUGAGACCGGGAGCCACAGGUGUGACAUGUGACAUGAUGCUGAAAUCCAUCUCCCCCGGCCCCCAUAUGAGAUUGGAAGGUACUGGCAGAGUACAUCAUUGUGGAUCUGCCUUCUGCCUUAAGAAUGCCCUAGAAUGCAGUAAGGCUUUCCCACAAGGGAAGGCAAGAAAGCCACAUCUCCUCCCCCAUGUUCUGGUCUCACAGCUGUGCUAAGUCAUCUGGAACCCACAUCCUCCAUUGUGAGUGGAUAUUUGAAGUAGUCAUCUGGGACGUUCUCCCAUAUCCCAGCACCACACCAUUACCUCCUGCUUGCUUGAAUUCACUUUUACACUGCUGUUCCGGUUCCUUGCUUUCUGCUCAAACACUAGACCCUACUCCAUAUCACUCAGAUGUGUUGGCCCUCUGGACACUCAGCCUCCUGGCCUCCUAUCUUUUCCUUUACCUAUUUCCCUAGCAGAUGAGGACUCCCUUGAUUCCAGUCCUGGCCCCCAAAACACCCUUCCAAGUUUCCAUGUUGAUCCUAUGCAUCUCCAUCUCUCUCCUCGAUUCCCUGCCUGUGAUCUGGGACUCAGGGAUGGAGCAAGGGGAUGGGAAGGUCAAGGACUGAGAUUCUGCAGCACUUACAUGCCCAUCUAAAGCCCAGUGAUCAUCUUUGAACUUGUUCACAAAGAUCUCCACAGGCCCUGUAAUCUGGUAAACCUGGAGCAGGAGAUGGAAAUCUUCUUUCUUGUAAAUUCCUGGGAAAAGGAAAUUCAGAGAGUACAGGAAAGAUCUGGAAAAACACCCAAGCUCAAAUCUGCAUGUACAUGGGAUUUCAUGUGUUGAUGUUGAUGUAAACGUGGCAUGCACAACCACCAGGAGUUAAGUAUAGUGUUGCCUGUGAGUUUGUGUGGGCUGAUCGUGGAGGGCACACAGAGUGUGUGCAUGUGUGUUAUCGACAACUAGAUUGCUGACCUGUGUUUGUGACCCUACUAACACAUGCACAUGUCAGAAUAAAGUGAAUAUUAUUUUGCAUAUGUUAAUGUGUCCGUGAAUGGAGGAAUAUGCUUUAUGAUUUCAUGAGUGCAGGA
This is a long non-coding RNA of Lutra lutra (Eurasian river otter), 1672 nucleotides long. RefSeq lists it as uncharacterized. The transcript has 3 exons. NCBI's taxonomy places the organism in Eukaryota, Metazoa, Chordata, Mammalia, Carnivora, Mustelidae. The record is from RefSeq and is a predicted model, not a curated record.